This 279-nucleotide ribosomal RNA is filed under the name uncultured bacterium. RNAcentral describes it as "partial 16S ribosomal RNA". It matches the Rfam family "Bacterial small subunit ribosomal RNA", at positions 506 to 784 of the family's 1533-position model. The record is from RNAcentral.
UGACAGCAGCCGCGGUCAUCCGUAGUGGGUUAUCGUUGUUCGGAAUUACUGGGCGUAAAGCGCGCGUAGGCGGAUUGUAAAGUUGGGGGUGAAAUCCCGAGGCUCAACCUCGGAACUGCCUCCAAAACUCCCAGUCUAGAGUUCGAGAGAGGUGAGUGGAAUUCCAAGUGUAGAGGUGAAAUUCGUAGAUAUUUGGAGGAACACCAGUGGCGAAGGCGGCUCACUGGCUCGAUACUGACGCUGAGGUGCGAAAGUGUGGGGAGCAAACAGGAUUAGAUA